GAUGAACGCUGGCGGCGUGCCUAAUACAUGCAAGUCGAGCGAACGGACGAGAAGCUUGCUUCUCUGAUGUUAGCGGCGGACGGGUGAGUAACACGUGGAUAACCUACCUAUAAGGCUGGGAUAACUUCGGGAAACCGGAGCUAAUACCGGAUAAUAUUUUGAACCGCAUGGUUCAAAAGUGAAAGACGGUCUUGCUGUCACUUAUAGAUGGAUCCGCGCUGCAUUAGCUAGUUGGUAAGGUAACGGCUUACCAAGGCAACGAUGCAUAGCCGACCCGAGAGGGUGAUCGGCCACACUGGAACUGAGACACGGUCCAGACUCCUACGGGAGGCAGCAGUAGGGAAUCUUCCGCAAUGGGCGAAAGCCUGACGGAGCAACGCCGCGUGAGUGAUGAAGGUCUUCGGAUCGUAAAACUCUGUUAUUAGGGAAGAACAUAUGUGUAAGUAACUGUGCACAUCUUGACGGUACCUAAUCAGAAAGCCACGGCUAACUACGUG
Molecule: ribosomal RNA, 497 nt
Filed under: uncultured bacterium
Lineage: Bacteria
Description: partial 16S ribosomal RNA
Rfam family: Bacterial small subunit ribosomal RNA
Source: RNAcentral